Molecule: ribosomal RNA, 492 nt
Filed under: uncultured bacterium
Lineage: Bacteria
Description: partial 16S ribosomal RNA
Rfam family: Bacterial small subunit ribosomal RNA
Source: RNAcentral
AUUGAACGCUGGCGGCAUGCUUUACACAUGCAAGUCGAACGGUAACAGGCCUUCGGGUGCUGACGAGUGGCGCACGGGUGAGUAAUGCAUCGGAACGUACCCAGAGGUGGGGGAUAACGCAGCGAAAGCUGUGCUAAUACCGCAUGUGAUCUGAGGAUGAAAGCGGGGGACCGAGCAGCAAUGUUUGGCCUCGCGCCUUUGGAGCGGCCGAUGUCGGAUUAGCUAGUUGGUGGGGUAAAGGCCUACCAAGGCGACGAUCCGUAGCUGGUCUGAGAGGACGACCAGCCACACUGGGACUGGGACACGGCCCCGACUCCUACGGGGGGCAGCAGUGGGGAAUUUUGGGCAAUUGGGGGAAGCCUGAUCCCGCAAUGCCGCGUGCGGGAAGAAGGCCUUCGGGUUGUAAACCGCUUUUGGCAGGAACGAAACGGUGUCCGCUAAUACCGGGCGCUAAUGACGGUACCUGCAGAAUAAGCACCGGCUAACUACGUG